This is a long non-coding RNA of Cottoperca gobio, 1691 nucleotides long. RefSeq lists it as uncharacterized. NCBI's taxonomy places the organism in Eukaryota, Metazoa, Chordata, Actinopteri, Perciformes, Bovichtidae. The record is from RefSeq and is a predicted model, not a curated record. The transcript has 3 exons.
CAGAAUGAUUGUGCCGUUGUAGGAUUGGCUGCAUGUGAUCAAGACGGAGAGUAUAAAAAAAAAGAGGUCUUUUCUCUUGGACAGAGUUCACACCAGCUUACGCCGAAUUUACACAGCGACAUCACCAACACUGCCGGAACCGCCAUAGAUUCAGAAGCAGCUGUAGAAUCGGAGUAUCCACCAUCCCGCUGAGAAAUCCAGAGCAUCGAAACGCCAAGAGAAACACAAGAUGGCUGCUCGUGAAUUUGAAUACCCUGAAGGAUGUGACGAGUAUAGAAAGAAAACGCUCCGAAUGGUAACAGCUGCAUGGGAAUCCAGAAACGCUCUUUAUUGAUAGACGCAAUGGUACAAUAUGUAACCUUGUUUUCUAUACUACACAUGUAAGAAAAUGGCUGGCUGUAGUGAAGAGAAAGUAUCCUGAAUUAGAAGAAAUCCAACAGAACAAUACAAUCAGACUCAAGUCCAAGCAAGGCACCAUAACUUUCUAUCUUAGUGGCAAAGUUCUGGUACAUGGCAAAGAUCUAAUGGAGAGGUUUGAAGGAGAUUUUGAAGAAAUGAAAAACAAUUCCGAGCCACGCGCCUUAUCAGCACAAAUGGCAAAAUUGACCGUAAACGAGGAGGCAGAACAGCCUGAUGAGGAAGAACAGCCUGAUGAGGAAGAACAGUCUGAUGAGGAAGAACAGCCUAAUGAGGAAGAACAGCCUGAUGAGGAAGAACAGUCUGAUGAGGAAGAACAGUCUGAUGAGGAAGAACAGCCCGAUAAGCCAGAGCUCACCCCGAAAUAAUGUCUGAUGAAUAAGUAAGGACAGAAAAAAAGAAAAAUAACACACCAAAUGGAAUAUUACAAAUAACUGAUUCUUAAGCUUUAUCCUACCGUUUUAUUUCAUAAAUAACUGGGUUGUAAAAUCAAUUACAUAUUUUUUUCUAAUUUACAAUACAUUUCUCGUGCACUAUAUAUCUGUACACUUUCUGUUUCUGGUGUUUAUAUAUCGUUUUGGAUAAAUAUGUAAUGUUAAUGUGUCCUCUGAUUGUGUCUUAUGACCCGAGCACACGUUAGUCGAUCUGCAUGUUAUUGAGGAAGUAAGGAGCAGUCCUGUACGAUAAUGUCCAGUCACCCACCUUAUCAGCACAAAUUGCAGAAUUGACCAUAAAAACAGCCAGGUCACCCCACCCCGCCCAACCACCCACCCUCCCACCCUCCCAACUCAUGAGAGAUAAUGAAUAAGUAAAGGACAGAAAAAAAAUAAAAAAAUAAAAAGAGCUAGUCUGCAUGUUAUUGAGGAAGUAAGCAGCAGUCCUGUACUCACUGAGCAGGUGGUAGUUUGAGUCCCUCUCAUAUUUGAAGGUCAGUCUUCCAGAGCUGACAUGGUUGAGAUUCUUCAGACACUCGAAAUAAGACACUGUCACACCGCCAGCAUUCAGGUACAUGUCCUGCAGGAAGAAACAUCACAGAGUCAUCAGACAUCUGCCUGUUCGGUCCUCACUUCUGUGUGUGUAGAAUUAUCUGUGAUUUACCUUGUACUCUUUUUAAAUUUUGAUUUGGGAAUAAAAUGUUUUGUCUUCAACUAAAAGACACUGGAAUAAACUUUAAAUGAAAUGCUUUUGUGAAAUCAAUAUCUUUAAUAUGUUUGAGGAAACGUGUAAGAAGUAAAAACCUGUUGCUUAAACAAUAAAGGCUGGAUUAUUGUUUA